ACACCCGUGAAAACGCCCUUUAAUUCCAUUAGAUAAUAGGAGCUGGUAUCAGGCACUUUAUUAUGCCCAAAACACCUAGUCACGCCACACCCAUAAGGGAAUUCAGCAGUAAUUAACAUUAAAAAUAAGCGAUAGCUUGAUUUAGUUAAAGUAAAAUAAGGUCGGCAAAUCUGGUGCCAGCCGCCGCGGUUACACCAAGUGACCUAAAUUGAUAUUUAUCGGCGUAAAGCGUGAUUUAAUUUUAUUAAUACUAAAGUGAAACUAUAAUUAAGCUGUGACACGCUUAUCUUUAUGAAACUCAAAGGCGAAAGCCAUUUUAAUUUAUUUUAUUUGAAUUCACGACAAUUGAAAAACAAACUAGGAUUAGAUACCCUACUAUGUUCAAUCGUAAACUUUUCUUUACUAAUUAAUCGCCAGGGUACUACGAGCAAAGCUUAAAACCCAAAGGACUUGACGGUACCCCAUAUCCCCCUAGAGGAGCCUGUCCUAUAAUCGAUAUCCCCCGCUUUACCUCACCAUUUUUAGCUAAUCAAUUUGUAUACCUCCGUCGCCAGCUUACCGCAUGAGCGAUUCUUAGUAAGCUUAAUGUUUAUACACCCAUACGUCAGGUCAAGGUGCAAUUAAUAAAAUGGAAAGAGAUGGGCUACACUCUCUAACAAUUAGAAAAUACAAACAACCAUAUAUGAAACCUGGUCAAAAGGUGGAUUUAGAAGUAAAAAAAACUAGCACAUUUUUUUGAACUCGGCACUGGGGUAUGUACAUACCGCCCGUCACCCUCUUCAAAAUUAAUUUUAGUUUUUAACAUUAUAAAGUAUCUCAGAAGAGGUAAGUCGUAA
Molecule: non-coding RNA, 836 nt
Filed under: Atopophrynus sp. n. MO-2020
Lineage: Eukaryota; Metazoa; Chordata; Amphibia; Anura; Strabomantidae
Description: partial small subunit ribosomal RNA
Rfam family: Microsporidia small subunit ribosomal RNA
Source: RNAcentral